GAACCUGUCCUAUAAUCGAUAAUCCACGAUUUUAUUUACUUAUUUUUUAAAUUUGCAUAUCGCCGUAGGUUGAAUAUUUUUAUAGAAUUGAAAUGUUCAAAAUUUUUAUUGAAAGUAAAUCAGGUCAAGGUGUAGUUUAUAGAUAAGAAGAGAUGGGUUACAAUAAAAUAAAUUUAAACGGAUGAAUUUUUGUAAAAAAUUUUAAAGGUGGAUUUGAAGGUAAUUUUAGUAUAAAUUUAUAAGGUGAUUUUAGCUCUAAAAUAUGUACAUAUCGCCCGUCACUUUCAUUCUAAAAUGGAAUAAGUCGUAACAUAGUAGGGGUACUGGAAAGUGUCCCUUAGGUUCAAAUUAAAGCUUUUCCAAGCAUUUUAGUUACAUUAAAAAGAUUAUUGUAAAUUCAGUAUAGUUUGAAAAAUUAAUAUUAUUAAUAUUUUUAGUUAAGUAUUUUUUAAUUAAAAUAAUUUAAUUUUUUAUUAAUUUAAGUGAAUAAAUAUAUUUUAUUAUAGUUUAAUUGUAUUGAGAAAGAAUUGUUUUAUUUAUUUUAUAGAAAAAUUGAAUUUUUGUACCUUGUGUCUCAGGGUUAAUUAAUUAAAGUUUUUAGAUUAUUAAUUUCUCGAAUUUAAAAGAGCUAUGAAUAUAUAUUUUUUACUGUAGAAUAAGUAUUAUAAAUAUUUUCAUAGAAGUGAAAUGUUAUACGAUUUUAAAUAUAUCUAGUUUUUUAAGAAAUAAAUUUAAUUUUAUUUUUAUAAAAUUGUUAUAUUUAUUUUUUAAUAUAGUAAUUGUAAAAGUAAAUAUUCUAAGGGAUGAGCUUUAGAAUAAAUUUAUAUAAUUUUUUAUAAUAGUUUAAUAAGUAGGAUUAUAAGUUUUUAUCUUUAAAAGUGUUUUAUCACUUUUUAAAUUUGUUUUAAAAUUUUUAUGAAAAUAUUUAUAUUUUUUAUUAAAAUUUAGAUUUGAAUUAUAGUAAUUUAGUAAUAAUGAUUAAAUUAGUAUAAAAUUUUUGUUUAAAUUUAUUUUAUUUUAAGGUUUUGGAAAGGAACUCGGCAAAUAUAUUCUUCACCUGUUUAUUAAAAACAUGUCCUUUUGUGUAUAAUUUAAGGUCUGACCUGCCCAAUGAGUUUAUUAAAUGGCCGCGGUAUCUUGACCGUGCAAAGGUAGCAUAAUCAUUAGUUUUUUAAUUGAAAGCUUGUAUGAAAGGUCGAAUGAGGGAAAAGCUGUCUCUUUAAAAAUUUUUUAGAAUUUUAUUUUUAAGUGAAAAAGCUUAAAUGUUUAUUAAAGACGAGAAGACCCUAUAGAGUUUUAUAUUUUUUUUUAUUUAAGUUUUUUAGUAUUAAU
Molecule: ribosomal RNA, 1332 nt
Filed under: Orchestes sp. 1 NLG-2014
Lineage: Eukaryota; Metazoa; Arthropoda; Insecta; Coleoptera; Curculionidae
Description: partial 16S ribosomal RNA
Source: RNAcentral